Molecule: long non-coding RNA, 396 nt
Filed under: Rattus norvegicus (Norway rat)
Lineage: Eukaryota; Metazoa; Chordata; Mammalia; Rodentia; Muridae
Description: long non-coding RNA NONRATT014970
Source: RNAcentral
GCUGCAUGCCCACAUCCUCCUCAUCCAUGACACAAGCUCUGCAUCGUGCUGAAAAACUGGGGUUACUAGCGGUGAAAGUGUGAGGUGAGCGUUCUGAGAAAAACACAGGAGUGAAGUGUUGAGCCCAAGCCGGUCUGCUGCAGACAAGGAUCUGUAUACCACACCGCGUAGAGUGACUCAGGUCCAUACCUGCUCUUUUACUGUUUGCAGCUCUGGACAUCAAGCUCAGACUCCCAAGUGAGACGAGUGCUCUCCAGCUUAGCUGUACUUCCAGAUCUGACCUAAUCUGAUGGCUGCUUUCAUGAAGUGAGCGUGGGGGGGGCACAACUGUUUUGGUGGACACCACCGAAACCCACCUGUAUGGCUCACAACGCUCAAGAUGGAUGCUGUUUGGCU